Zea mays is the source of this 839-nucleotide long non-coding RNA. RefSeq lists it as uncharacterized. Lineage: Eukaryota; Viridiplantae; Streptophyta; Magnoliopsida; Poales; Poaceae. The transcript is spliced from 2 exons. The record is from RefSeq and is a predicted model, not a curated record.
CACUCUGUCUACUCUCUACUCUGAAGUCUGAACUCAAUCUCACACGGAUGAUACACGAACUAGGGUUGCUGCUGCACCGCGUUUCCUUCCCAGGUCCAGGUCGCCGGCAUCUGCAGAGAGAGAAAGAGAGAGUCCAUGAAACUCAACAGGAAACCUCCAUCCAUCCAUCCGCCUGGCCGGCUCACUGACGACCUGUGCUAUCGCUUCUUGGACUUGCACACGAAAGCAGCGGCAGCAAGGCAACGCAGUGCAUCAGCGUUUUCGUGACUUGACUGGGCGUACACAGCUAAAGAAGGCCGAUACGUCUAGCUAGCAGGGUGCUCGAGGAGCGGCGACGACGGUUGACGACAGACAUGGUGGAAGUGCUCUCAUGUAUCAAGGAUUGGAAGUUGGCUGACCAGCACAAGCAACAUACUGUGGAGAAGGAAACCAAAGACCUGAAGCAACCUUUGAAGAUAUGUACCUAGAUGAUGAGCAACGAGUAUCACCAGGGAGCAAAAGAAAGGAACAUGAAGGAGGAGGAGAUACGAGAAAGGAAGCAGCACUAAAGAGUUCUAAAAGCAAACAACCUUAAACUUAUUCUCUCUUUCUUUUCCCACCUAUUUAUGUUCUCUUAUUUGUAAUAUGCUCAUAUGGACUGUGGACUGUGGACUGAACUAUGAACCUAUAAAUAAUUUAAGGAGCUGGCUGUACUCUUUUCCUUUCUAGAGUUUUCUCACGAGGUGUGAGUUUUUACCUAGAAAGGUUUUUAAUGAGGCAGCAUUGCACUAAGGCUCCACAAGUAUUUCUGUUAAAUUGGAUGUAUUCUGUGUACAUGUAUGGUUUAAUGUGAUGUUUUA